RNAcentral lists this unclassified non-coding RNA (332 nucleotides) under soil metagenome. Its description in RNAcentral is "partial contains 5.8S ribosomal RNA, internal transcribed spacer 2, and large subunit ribosomal RNA". The stretch from base 1 to 120 matches the Rfam family "5.8S ribosomal RNA", at positions 35 to 154 of the family's 154-position model. The record is from RNAcentral.
GAUGAAGAACGUAGCGAAAUGCGAUAAGUAAUGUGAAUUGCAGAAUUCAGUGAAUCAUCGAAUCUUUGAACGCACAUUGCGCCCGCUAGUAUUCUGGCGGGCAUGCCUGUUCGAGCGUCAUUUCAACCAUCAAGCCCUGUUUAGGCUUGUGUUGGGGCCCUGCGGUUGCCGCAGCCCCCUAAAUGCAGUGGCGGGCUCGUUGUCACUCCGAGCGCAGUAGCGUAUCUCGCUCUGGGCGUGGCGGCGGGUGCUAGCCGUGAAUCACCCACUAAGGUUGACCUCGGAUCAGGUAGGAAUACCCGCUGAACUUAAGCAUAUCAAUAAGCGGAGGA